RNAcentral lists this unclassified non-coding RNA (261 nucleotides) under plant metagenome. RNAcentral's name for it is "partial contains small subunit ribosomal RNA, internal transcribed spacer 1, and 5.8S ribosomal RNA". The record is from RNAcentral.
UUUCCGUAGGUGAACCUGCGGAAGGAUCAUUAUUGUAUAACCGAGGUGCGAGGGCUGUCGCUGACCCGAAAGGUCGUGCACGCCCGAGUGUGUCCUCUUGCAUAAUAAUCCAUCUCACCCUUUGUGCAUCACCGCGUGGGCACCCUUCGGGAUCAUCUCGGAGGGGGGCUCGCGUUUUCACACAAACCCCCCUUUUAAAAGUGUAGAAUGGCCACAUUUAUGCAAUCAAUACAACUUUCAACAACGGAUCUCUUGGCUCUC